UACAGGGGGUGCAAACGUUGCUCGGAAUCAUUGGGCGUAAAGAGCGCGUAGGCGGUCCGGUAAGUCCGCUCUGAAAGUCCGGGGCUCAACCCCGGGAGGCGGGCGGAUACUGUCGGGCUAGAGUCCGGAAGAGGCGAGUGGAAUUCCUGGUGUAGCGGUGAAAUGCGCAGAUAUCAGGAGGAACACCAAUGGCGAAGGCAGCUCGCUGGGACGGUACUGACGCUGAGGCGCGAAAGCGUGGGGAGCAAACAGG
RNAcentral lists this ribosomal RNA (253 nucleotides) under uncultured bacterium. Its description in RNAcentral is "partial 16S ribosomal RNA". It matches the Rfam family "Bacterial small subunit ribosomal RNA", at positions 524 to 776 of the family's 1533-position model. The record is from RNAcentral.